RNAcentral lists this ribosomal RNA (484 nucleotides) under Salmonella enterica subsp. enterica serovar Infantis. RNAcentral's name for it is "bacterial SSU rRNA". Lineage: Bacteria; Pseudomonadati; Pseudomonadota; Gammaproteobacteria; Enterobacterales; Enterobacteriaceae. The record is from RNAcentral.
AAAUUGAAGAGUUUGAUCAUGGCUCAGAUUGAACGCUGGCGGCAGGCCUAACACAUGCAAGUCGAACGGUAACAGGAAGCAGCUUGCUGCUUYGCUGACGAGUGGCGGACGGGUGAGUAAUGUCUGGGAAACUGCCUGAUGGAGGGGGAUAACUACUGGAAACGGUGGCUAAUACCGCAUAACGUCGCAAGACCAAAGAGGGGGACCUUCGGGCCUCUUGCCAUCAGAUGUGCCCAGAUGGGAUUAGCUWGUUGGUGAGGUAACGGCUCACCAAGGCGACGAUCCCUAGCUGGUCUGAGAGGAUGACCAGCCACACUGGAACUGAGACACGGUCCAGACUCCUACGGGAGGCAGCAGUGGGGAAUAUUGCACAAUGGGCGCAAGCCUGAUGCAGCCAUGCCGCGUGUAUGAAGAAGGCCUUCGGGUUGUAAAGUACUUUCAGCGGGGAGGAAGGUGUUGUGGUUAAUAACCGCAGCAAUUGACG